UGGCAAUGACGGGAAACGGGGAAUUAGGGUUCGAUUCCGGAGAGGGAGCCUGAGAAACGGCUACCACAUCUAAGGAAGGUAGCAGGCGCGCAAAUUACCCAAUCCUAAUACAGGGAGGUAGUGACAAGAAAUAACAAUACAGGACUUUUUGGUUUUGUAAUUGGAAUGAGUUAAGUAUAAACCCCUUUACAAGUAUCAAUUGGAGGGCAAGUCUGGUGCCAGCAGCCGCGGUAAUUCCAGCUCCAAUAGCGUAUAUUAAAGUUGUUGCAGUUAAAAAGCUCGUAGUUGGAUUUCUGUUAAUAAUUUAUAUAAAAUAUUUUGAUGAAUAUUUAUAUAAUAUUAACAUAAUUCAUAUUACUAUAUAUUUUAGUAUAUGAAAUUUUACUUUGAGAAAAUUAGAGUGCUUAAAGCAGGCAUAUGCCUUGAAUACUCCAGCAUGGAAUAAUAUUAAAGAUUUUUAUCUUUCUUAUUGGUUCUAAGAUAAGAAUAAUGAUUAAUAGGGACAGUUGGGGGCAUUUGUAUUUAACAGUCAGAGGUGAAAUUCUUAGAUUUGUUAAAGAC
RNAcentral lists this ribosomal RNA (561 nucleotides) under Cryptosporidium parvum. Its description in RNAcentral is "SSU rRNA". It matches the Rfam family "Eukaryotic small subunit ribosomal RNA", at positions 347 to 936 of the family's 1831-position model. The record is from RNAcentral. Lineage: Eukaryota; Apicomplexa; Conoidasida; Eucoccidiorida; Cryptosporidiidae.